RNAcentral lists this ribosomal RNA (465 nucleotides) under Vreelandella stevensii. RNAcentral describes it as "partial 16S ribosomal RNA". It matches the Rfam family "Bacterial small subunit ribosomal RNA", at positions 338 to 795 of the family's 1533-position model. The record is from RNAcentral. Lineage: Bacteria; Pseudomonadati; Pseudomonadota; Gammaproteobacteria; Oceanospirillales; Halomonadaceae.
CCUACGGGGGGCUGCAGUGGGGAAUAUUGGACAAUGGGGGGAACCCUGAUCCAGCCAUGCCGCGUGUGUGAAGAAGGCCCUCGGGUUGUAAAGCACUUUCAGUGAGGAAGAACGCCUGGUGGUUAAUACCCAUCAGGAAAGACAUCACUCACAGAAGAAGCACCGGCUAACUCCGUGCCAGCAGCCGCGGUAAUACGGAGGGUGCGAGCGUUAAUCGGAAUUACUGGGCGUAAAGCGCGCGUAGGUGGCUUGAUAAGCCGGUUGUGAAAGCCCCGGGCUCAACCUGGGAACGGCAUCCGGAACUGUCAAGCUAGAGUGCAGGAGAGGAAGGUAGAAUUCCCGGUGUAGCGGGGAAAUGCGUAGAGAUCGGGAGGAAUACCAGUGGCGAAGGCGGCCUUCUGGACUGACACUGACACUGAGGUGCGAAAGCGUGGGUAGCAAACAGGAUUAGAUACCCUAGUAGUC